AUAUCAAUAAGCGGAGGAAAAGAAACUAACAAGGAUUCCCCUAGUAACGGCGAGUGAAGAGGGAAGAGCCCAAGAUUGAAAGCUGGCGUCUUCGGCGUCCGCAUUGUAAUCUCAAGAAGUGUUUUCCGCUUCGGACCAAGCCCAAGUCCCUUGGAAAAGGGCAUCGUAGAGGGUGAAAAUCCCGUACAUGGCUUGGAGCGCCCGAGGCUUUGUGAUACGCUUUCCAAGAGUCGAGUUGUUUGGGAAUGCAGCUCAAAAUGGGUGGUAAAUGCCAUCUAAGGCUAAAUAUUGGGGAGAGACCGAUAGCGCACAAGUA
RNAcentral lists this ribosomal RNA (316 nucleotides) under uncultured Sporisorium. RNAcentral describes it as "partial large subunit ribosomal RNA". It matches the Rfam family "Eukaryotic large subunit ribosomal RNA", at positions 40 to 350 of the family's 3401-position model. The record is from RNAcentral. Lineage: Eukaryota; Fungi; Basidiomycota; Ustilaginomycetes; Ustilaginales; Ustilaginaceae.